UACGUAGGGGGCAAGCGUUGUUCGGAAUUACUGGGCGUAAAGGGCGCGUAGGCGGCACGACAAGUCGGGCGUGAAAGCCCGGGGCUCAACCCCGGAAUGUCUCUCGAAACUGUCGAGCUAGAGUGCGGAAGAGGCAACUGGAAUUCCCAGUGUAGCGGUGAAAUGCGUAGAUAUUGGGAAGAACACCUGAGGCGAAGGCGGGUUGCUGGGCCGACACUGACGCUGAGGCGCGAAAGCCAGGGGAGCGAACGGG
RNAcentral lists this ribosomal RNA (253 nucleotides) under uncultured bacterium. RNAcentral describes it as "partial 16S ribosomal RNA". It matches the Rfam family "Bacterial small subunit ribosomal RNA", at positions 524 to 776 of the family's 1533-position model. The record is from RNAcentral.